This 897-nucleotide long non-coding RNA is filed under the name Zostera marina. RNAcentral describes it as "long non-coding RNA (ZMAR_LNC002281)". The record is from RNAcentral. Lineage: Eukaryota; Viridiplantae; Streptophyta; Magnoliopsida; Alismatales; Zosteraceae.
UUAUUUUUAGGUUAUAUAUUAUAAAUUUAGUUAAAUAAAACCUAGAUAAAAAUAAACCAAAACAUUGAAAUAAAACCAAAACCCCUAAAAUUUCCCCAAAUCCUAUUUCCCGUUUCUCAUUUCCCCAAAUCCUAUUUCCUACGAUUCCAACCUCCCGACGAUUCCAACCUCUCCGGUGAGCACGAACGGUGAUUGUCAACUUCUGUCCGGUCUCUGUCCGAUCUCCGCAAGCGGUAAUCAGGUAUGCAAAAUUAGAAACUGCGGUAAACAACUGCAAAGCCAUUACAUUUCAACUUGUUGAUUAGAAACUGCAAAAUUAGAAACUUUUACAUUUGAUUAAUCGGUCUUUGCCAUUCUCUAUCAAAAAACAAUUGUAUGAAGGCAGUUAACAAAAUCACAGUUCCUCUGCACACAUUUCAACUAGAUUAGCCACUCAACUCUCAAACUGCUUCUCCUCCUUCUAUGUUCACUAUGUUUAUACUCUUCUGAUAAACAACAAGCUGCUAUCAAAUUAGAUAUGCCAUUACAACUGCAAAGCCAGGUCAGGCUGCUGCUGAACAGGAGGAGAGCUUGGUGAUUGGAAACCAAUAUUCAAGUCUGGAGGAUCUCUAAUUUUACUGUGGCUUUCUUCUGCUUGUGAGCCAAUACGUUGCCAAUGAUCAAACUGAUUACCCUGUUCGAAUGUAGACAGUGCACCAUGCCCACUUCUAACCAUUUGCCUCGGUUUCGAGACUGUUUCGGUUUGUGAACAUCGUUGCUUCUGUCUUCUAUCAAUAUCUUCAAAUCCAUCAUUUGAAUGCAAACUAUCUGGUGAAGGUUGGAGCAUCCAAGUUGGCCGAUUGUAAGUCGACCAAUUUCUAAUUUGCACUUCUGAAUUACUCUGACCUUCCAUUAACC